RNAcentral lists this long non-coding RNA (3219 nucleotides) under Homo sapiens (human). RNAcentral describes it as "HSALNT0284293". Lineage: Eukaryota; Metazoa; Chordata; Mammalia; Primates; Hominidae. The record is from RNAcentral.
AAAACAGGAUCUAAAAAGAUAAAAUAUAUAAAGGCCUUUUACAUUGUUAAAUAAUGUUUAGCUUAAAGUUACCUCCUUACAUAUUUUAAGUCCAGCCUAAAUUAUUUUCUGUGCACUGUGAACUAUAGCAAAUGGAGGUGUAAGCACACCAUAGACCACACCUGUGCCAAUCACUGAGUUUUGGCCAAUCAUAAGUAGCCAGCUGUUUGAACCAUGUUCAAAUAAGGCAAACACCAAGCUAUAACCAAUCCAGUUGUUUCUGUACCUCACUUCCAUUUUCUGUUUGCACCUCACUAUUUUUUUUCUGUUUGUAAAUCUUCUUCCACCGCAUGGCUGCACUGGAGUCUCUGAGCCUCCGCUGGCUCAUAAGGCUGCUGGACUCAUGAACUGUUCAUUACAAAAUUAAUGUUUUAAAAAUUUAAUUCAGGUGAAGUUUUUCUUUUAUCAGAUGGUGUCAGAAGCAGGGUCCCAAGUAGAGCUUCUAACAAACCCUAGGAGUCCUGGGCGACCAAAGCGAGGUAGCUGCAGAACCCAUUUGUGUCCAUUGAUCUCUUGGAGCAGCUGGGGAUCAUGCUAUGAGCGACAGGAUUAGGCAUGAAUAGGACCAUGGAACAUGGAGAACUUUUUCUCUUAAAAAAAGAAAACUUGAGAGCAGAUGUGACUGCUGGAAAAGAUCCCUUCAUGACCGACAAGCAGCUGCCUGAAUUUUUAAUUCAGUAUUGCAUUGGGUGGGUCUUUCUCUGGCCUCCCUGAGCUCCUUGACUUCCCCACUCUACCACAGGCAAUGUUUUUCUUUUUUUCUCUCCUUUCCCUUUCCUAUCUUUUCUGUUACUCAGGGCAGCCAUCUUGCCCAGAGACCACAUGUUAAAUCUCCUGGUGGGUGGUUGGAUUAAACGUGACAGGGCCAAACUGGGGGCAAGUUUGGGCAUUGCCAAUUUGAUAUUGGGUGCUAAGCAAAGUGGCUAAUGUUUAUAAUUUGUCGCAUGUAUUUUACUCUGGCCGAAAUUGAACAUGUUAAUUUGGUUACUCCAUGCCACCCUUUGGACAGCGUCUUACAAAAUUGACAGGCUUUUGCCUGUGGUUCAAUGAAACAGAAAGAAAAAAAAAAAAGAUUUUCUUUUGUGUUGCAUCUUGGCCCCCAGAGCUAUAGUGUGGCUGCUCAGGGAGGGGGAGGCGAGAAGCUUGGCAAGCUGGCAAAAGGGUAAGAAUUUAUUACUAGUCAGACUUCUGGCCUCUCUCUCUCUGUGCAAACUGGCUGAGUGAAUGAUAAAAACAAAUCACUGUUUAUCUCCUCUGUAAAGUUUUGAUUAAUGUGAUAAAGGAUUCUGAGGCUAUUCUUAAGCUGUAGCAUAUCUGGUGUGCUUUGUGUGUCUUUCUGUAUGGUCCUGUCAUAAAGAUAAGUACCUUAGGAUAGAAUAUGGGCUUAGGACCCCGCAAGCUUGCUAUUCAAGACAACCCAGAAAACUGUUCAGUAACAAACUUUACUGCAGGUCCCUGAAACAAAAAAGAAACUGGAUGGGGUCUCCAUCUUGUUUUAUGACCUUGGGAGCUUGACCUUGUAACUAAGUGGCAGCACUUUCUCUUGGUUUCUGCCAUCUAGGAAACAAGGAUUUUGGGGUUCAUGUCAUAGUUAGCUCUAAAAAUUACCUUGAGUAGAUAAAAGCCUUUGCAAACUCAAAAUUGACUGCUUUAGACUCCUUCUGGGAAGAGCAAUGGAAACUGCCCAGUGCUGUAAUUCAGCAGCUAAUGCUUUGCCAUUUUACAAUGGCAGUCCAGGUUCAAUUCUAGCGUAGGGAAUGAGCACUUACUGGGUGAUAUCUAUUCGACCUUUACCAUUCGUUGAUUCUCUUUUCCUCCAAGAACAACUUCUAGCUUUCCUUCUUAUUUUUUUUUUUCUGAGCUACCCUUGAAGAUUCUAAAUUGUGUAAAAAUGAUUUACCACCCUUUUGAAAAUAUUUCAUACACUCGUGAUUGAGUCAGAACCUUAGUUGAAGUUUGUUUCACUUGUGAGGUUACUUUUGGUGAACUUAAAAGGCCAGAAAUAUGGACCAUUUGGCCCAGGUAAAGUAGUAUAAUAAAUAAUUUAAAGGGACAGUUUCUUACAGAGCACUGUGGUUAAAAGUCAGCUUAGUUAACAGUGGAUGUCCAAGCUGUAUGUGUAUUUAAAAGGCCUUUAUGUUUUUUUUUCCUCCUUCUUGGAUUUUAUUUUUCUGAAGAAAAAAGGGUUUAUUUUCUUCUCAGUCAACUGAGUUUUUUUCUCCACUUUGUCUUCUUGCUACUCAAUGUACACAAGACAGGAACUAAGAUAACUUCUAAUAGCCUGGGACUCCUUGGGGAAAAGAGAGAAGGCUCCAUAGAUCCCAUUUUGAGAAAAAUCUCUGUUUUCUUCAUGAAACCCCAGGAAUUGGAAGUGGAUAGAUCCCUCUCAAAAUCUAAGGCUCUGUUUUGUUUUGCAUUGUAUUAUUUCAUGGUUUUGAGUUUUGGGGAUAUCAGAAAAUACUUUGCAUUCUAACUAGGUGGAAAAUACACUUUUAGAAAUGGCUAUUGGCUGCUAGGGAGGAUACUCAGCUCUUUACACAUCCGGAUUAGAGAAACAUGCUCUUGGCCACCUAGAAGGUAUGAAGAUAUCGCCACUCCCCACUGAGAGAUGCCACUCCCCACUGACAGAUAAGACUCCCGUGGGAGGAUGGAUUGAUUGCAAAAUGGGCUAAGUGGCUUUGGGUUGUCAUGCAAUGAAAUGCAUGGUAAAAGCGUUGCACUUUCUUCUCCCAUAGCAUUUCCUUCUUUUUGAGAAUCCAGGAUGUGAUAUAAAAAUGGGGCCAUUAAUUUUGGAAAACUUUGUCUUCCAAAGAAGCCUGCUUAUUAGGCCCUAAGAACUGCAUGACUUUCCUGGCCCUGUUCCCUGAAGAACUCCACCGUGACACCAGUAAUCCAAUUAAGAAACUUAAAAACUGGCAAAUAAAAAAAUCUUACAACUUCUGGAUCUUCAUCUGUCUGUCUGUGUAGUUAUAUAUGUGUUGUAUAUGUGACGUUCAUAUAAAAAAGCUCUAAUUAAUUGGCUUGAAGAAAAAUAAGCACUUAAAUCAAAUAUUUUGAAAGAAAAAUGAAAACUGUAAAGCCUUUUAGUUCAUGUGACUUUAGUAGCCUUUGGAAAAUAAAAGCAGUUUUAAAAAGAUUAUCGGUAAAAUAAAAACACUUGGUCUAAGUUAGGCAAGUCAG